GCAGGCGUGGCGGAAUUGGCAGACGCGCUAGACUUAGGAUCUAGUGGGUGUUCCCCGUGAGAGUUCGACUCUCUCCGCCUGCACCA
This 86-nucleotide transfer RNA is filed under the name Bacillota bacterium. RNAcentral's name for it is "Firmicutes bacterium (anaerobic digester metagenome) tRNA-Leu". It matches the Rfam family "tRNA". From Rfam's summary of the family: Transfer RNA (tRNA) molecules are approximately 80 nucleotides in length. Their secondary structure includes four short double-helical elements and three loops (D, anti-codon, and T loops). Further hydrogen bonds mediate the characteristic L-shaped molecular structure. tRNAs have two regions of fundamental functional importance: the anti-codon, which is responsible for specific mRNA codon recognition, and the 3' end, to which the tRNAs corresponding amino acid is attached (by aminoacyl-tRNA synthetases). tRNAs cope with the degeneracy of the genetic code in two manners: having more than one tRNA (with a specific anti-codon) for a particular amino acid; and 'wobble' base-pairing, i.e. permitting non-standard base-pairing at the 3rd anti-codon position. RNAcentral also lists the same sequence under 1 other name. The record is from RNAcentral. Lineage: Bacteria; Bacillati; Bacillota.